UUGGAGGGCAAGUCUGGUGCCAGCAGCCGCGGUAAUUCCAGCUCCAAUAGCGUAUAUUAAAGUUGUUGCAGUUAAAAAGCUCGUAGUUGAACUUCGGGGUCUACCCAUUGGUCAGGCUUAAUUGUCUGUACUGGUGAGAUGGAUCUCUACCUUCUGAGGAACUUUCAUGCCAUUUAUUUGGUGUGAUGGGAAAUCAGGACUGUUACUUUGAAAAAAUUAGAGUGUUUAAAGCUGACUAUCGUCUGAAUACAUUAGCAUGGAAUAAUGAAAUAGGACGGACUGAUUCUAUUUCGUUGGUUUCUAGGAUCACCGUAAUGAUUAAUAGGGAUAGUUGGGGGCAUUAGUAUUCAAUUGUCAGAGGUGAAAUUCUUGGACUUAUUGAAGACUAACUACUGCGAAAGCAUUUGCCAAGGAUGUUUUCAUUAAUCAAGAACGAAAGUUAGGGGAUCGAAGACGAUCAGAUACCGUCGUAGUCUUAACCAUAAACUAUGCCGACUAGGGAUCGGACGAAGUUAAUUUUAUAAUGACGCGUUCGGCACCUUACGGGAAACCAAAGUGUUUGGGUUC
This 567-nucleotide ribosomal RNA is filed under the name uncultured Glomeromycotina. RNAcentral describes it as "SSU rRNA". It matches the Rfam family "Eukaryotic small subunit ribosomal RNA", at positions 548 to 1114 of the family's 1831-position model. The record is from RNAcentral. Lineage: Eukaryota; Fungi; Glomeromycota.